Long non-coding RNA from Nicotiana attenuata, 815 nucleotides. RefSeq lists it as uncharacterized. The record is from RefSeq and is a predicted model, not a curated record. Lineage: Eukaryota; Viridiplantae; Streptophyta; Magnoliopsida; Solanales; Solanaceae. The transcript has 2 exons.
CUAGACAUACAAUCAGCCGUUUUCUAAAAAGGGACAAAAAAUCCUUUCUUCUCCAACCUAAAUCAAAAAGGAAAAUAGCAGUCAUUCCCAUUAAGAGAACAAUCGGCCAUUACCCAAAAUUCCCAAAAGAGAGAACACCUUAGUCAGCCGUAGAACACACACAGGGGAGACCCCUGAACUCUACUCCAUAUUUACAAAAUCAAAGAAAACCAAAAAGAAACCUAGAAGAAGCUUCAGCAAAAGACCUAUAACCUCUAACCUUCAAAAAUCAUCUGCUCUUGAAUUUCAGCCGUCUUCUUGUAUUGUAUUGUGGCUGAGGAUGUUUACAUUCAUCUAUUGUUGUUAACCGUUCGUGGGGGUUCGCGGUUCCGGUGCCGGGUCCGGUGCUUUUGUUGGGUUGCGAUUUUCCUCUUCAUUUUGUACAUUGCUCGAGCUUGAUGAAUCAGUUCUUUUUUGGAAGAAAAAUCCGCGAAGAAAUUCAAUCUGUAUUGGACAAUCGACAGGGUUCUAAUUUCAGAAUUAUAGCGUCAAUUAAGGUACACGAUUUGGCCUUUGAUAAUUGUAAGUUGAAAUAUGAAAGUAUGGAAGCAUGAAAUCUGAAUUACUUCAACCUUUGUAACUGUGUGUUCAACAUUCAGCUUUGAUGUAGAUUAAAUUUCUGUUUGUAUUGUACUAAUAUGGACUGUACCGGACUGUUUAGACUAUUGGGCUUGUGAUUGCUCAUCUAAAGAUUAGCUUUGAACUAGCACAGUUUGGUUAAUUGUGUUGGUCUGACUUUUAAAAAUCAGAAAAACAUAUUGUAGACUUGAGAUCAA